AACGCAAAUUGCACUCCCUGGCAUCCCGGGGAGUAUGCCUGUUUGAGGGUUGGUUUAAAUAACAAUCGAUAUGUUACUUUUGUGUCAUUUCGGAAUUGGAUCAUCUUAAAUAAUUAAGGGAUCUUAAAUUGAUGUUUCUUGUGUGUCUUGACGUGUAUGAUUUUUUUUUAUCUCGUCACUGGACGCCAAGGUAUUUUAUUAGGUGUGGCUAUGUUAAGUGGUCUCAUGCCUAUAGGAUUUUCUUGAUUUCAACCUCAAAUCAGGUAGGGAUACCCGCUGAACUUAA
Molecule: unclassified non-coding RNA, 286 nt
Filed under: uncultured fungus
Lineage: Eukaryota; Fungi
Description: sequence contains ITS2
Source: RNAcentral